Molecule: transfer RNA, 73 nt
Filed under: Streptomyces phage Wofford
Lineage: Duplodnaviria; Heunggongvirae; Uroviricota; Caudoviricetes; Stanwilliamsviridae
Also listed under: 1 other name
Description: tRNA-Asp
Rfam family: tRNA
About the family: Transfer RNA (tRNA) molecules are approximately 80 nucleotides in length.
Source: RNAcentral
CCCGGCGUGGUGAACUGGUUAUCAUGCUUGUCUGUCGAACAAGAGUAGAGGGUUCAAUUCCCUUCGUCGGGGC